CAGCGUGUGCUGCAUGUUUCCUGGUGUGGAGUUCGAGGCUUUAAAGGGUCGACAAUCAGCGCCCCGCGCGCAUGGCGUGACGCCUCGACGUUGGGACGUUGGACUCUGCGGGACGCCCGUCGCUCUGCAGCCCGUGGCGCUUCGGGAGACAUGCUGGCGUGCUACGCCAAGCAGGUAGAUUGUUUGCCGAGCUCCCCUAAGAUAACACGGCCUCUGCACGGUAAGUUUGCAGGGCCAAGUCGGGAAGGACAAACCUAAACCAAAAGACUGGUGAGCGUCUGCACGAGGCACACGGUUUGUGAAGUGCAGCCGAGGCUCAUGGGAGCUCUGCAGGUAUUCGGUCAAUAACCCCAAAGUCAGAGCUUCACACUUUCAGACUUUGACCUGCCGAUGAGGCGUCUGAUUGCCACACGGUACAGAAAGGUGAUCCAGGCGGCCUCCUGCAAAGCGGGUCUGUGCUUGAUUCGACACUCGGCUGUUUAAUAUUUAAGUGGCUCUGUAAUCGCUGCGGCUCUUCUCUCUCAGCGCCGCAUUUAAACGUUUCUGCUCUGCAGGUUUUUUAGAUGAAAUCCUUUCGGUUGCUCUCCCUGAACACCCCUCCACCUGCGUUCCACUCCUUCCUAUUCGCAUAAGCGAAACGAAAAAACACGGCCGUUUUUCCCGUCAGCUUCGCUGGGUAUGUUCUCCGAAACGUCAAACUGAAACAAGUCACCGGUGACAAGGGAAAGACCGAAAGAUCAAAGACGCAUCACCUUUGAGUGACAGCCGCUGUGCGUAGUGUACGCUGUGACUCACACACACACACACGCACGCACAGAGGUGUGUGUUCCACCUUCGCCUCCGGGACUCUUUAAACCCGAUUAUCAGCUGAGAGAUGAAGAUAAUUCAACAAAACAGAGCGAAGGAAAGAAGCUGAAGACAAAGUUGAAGAAAAUAUCUUUGUGCUUCAGAAGUGCAGCAGAUAAAAAGUGUCUCUUUGAAAGGUGUCCGUCGGCAGCAGAGAUGUGCUGCUACAUGUCAGGCUCAAGGCGUGGGCAGACACACACACACACACACACACACACACAGGUACACAAACUCAACCUUCUUCUCUUUCCACAAACCUCAUACAAGUAAAAACAUGAAAAGGUGUCUUUUCUUUCAUGUUUCAAGGAAAACAGAAUCACCUUCUAAUGCGUUUGUUAAUAUUUAAUUGUGCUCCAACAGUUAAAUUCUCCCAAAUUUUCACAAAUUAUUUAUUUUCUG
Gasterosteus aculeatus aculeatus (three-spined stickleback) is the source of this 1245-nucleotide long non-coding RNA. The record is from Ensembl. NCBI's taxonomy places the organism in Eukaryota, Metazoa, Chordata, Actinopteri, Perciformes, Gasterosteidae.